Pseudophryne corroboree (corroboree frog) is the source of this 884-nucleotide long non-coding RNA. RefSeq lists it as uncharacterized. The transcript has 4 exons. Lineage: Eukaryota; Metazoa; Chordata; Amphibia; Anura; Myobatrachidae. The record is from RefSeq and is a predicted model, not a curated record.
AUAAAGAAUUUUUGUUUAAUCUUUAUUCAUCACAGAAAGAAUCCCUAAAGCUAACCACAAAAUUUAACAUCCGCUGACACAUCUCCAUCGAACUACGGGACCAUGGUACGCAAACAGCGAUCGUGACUCGCAUGUGAUGUACAUCCGCCGGAAGUGCGUGACUGUGACACGCACGCGGUGCGUACUUCCGCCGGAACCGUAAGUGCGGUGCGUUGACACGCACGUGAGAGUGGAACGCAUGUAGCGUUCAGAUUUUGUCCCCCCUUAUUUUUUAUAAUGUCAGGAAGCAGAAUUGAUGUUAGUUAACCAGUAAGAAUGGCAUUCCACAUAGUACCAUGAGGUCUUAACACAUUACUAACUAAUAAUAAAUUAAUUAAUCAGCCAGCAGGAAGUGAUGUAAUAUCAAGGGAGCUAUAAAGGGAUGCCCCUAUAUUGCCUCUCAUUCUGUAGUUGGUAUUCAAUGAGGUUGCACUUGUUCCUGUAAAAAGGAAUAGUUUCGUUCAGGAUUUGAAAUUUUCCUAAGUUCUCUGUUUGGUGACAUGUAUAAACAGAGGUAGACUAUAAGGUUCCACCAUUCUUGAUUGAAAAUAGGGAACGUAACAUCAUCUAAUUUCAACCAAAUUUAUAUAUAUUUUUUUGAAGUCUAUCUAGAUAUUAUAUUUAUCGAAUUGAAUAUGUGAUUGGAUGUAAUCAUUGGAUAUUCUAAACCUUUCUAAUCAAUGGUAAUCACUCCUACUAUAAGAACUGAUUCCAAACCCCUGAUGAAGUCCUAACGGACGAAACGCGUUGGGUUUUGCAACGUCUGGUUAACAAAGUCCUUAUCACAAACAUCUGGUUGGAGAUACAUCCAUUUCGAGUUCUGACUGUGAUCACCUGGCUGUAAA